AGAGUUUGAUCAUGGCUCAGGAUGGACGCUGGCGGCGUGCCUAACACAUGCAAGUCGAGCGAUCUUCUUAGGAAGAGAGCGGCGGACGGGUGAGUAACGCGUGGGUAACCUGCCUCAUACACAUGGAUAACAUACCGAAAGGUAUGCUAAUACAAGAUGAUAUAAGAAAUUCGCAUGGAUUUCUUAUCAAAGCUCCGGCGGUAUGAGAUGGACCCGCGUCUGAUUAGCUAGUUGGUAAGGUAACGGCUUACCAAGGCGACGAUCAGUAGCCGACCUGAGAGGGUGAUCGGCCACAUUGGAACUGAGACACGGUCCAAACUCCUACGGGAGGCAGCAGUGGGGAAUAUUGCACAAUGGGCGAAAGCCUGAUGCAGCAACGCCGCGUGAGCGAUGAAGGCCUUCGGGUCGUAAAGCUCUGUCCUCAAGGAAGAUAAUGACGGUACUUGAGGAGGAAGCCCCGGCUAACUACGUGCCAGCAGCCGCGGUAAUACGUAGGGGGCUAGCGUUAUCCGGAUUUACUGGGCGUAAAGGGUGCGUAGGUGGUUUCUUAAGUCAGGAGUGAAAGGCUACGGCUCAACCGUAGUAAGCUCUUGAAACUGGGAAACUUGAGUGCAGGAGAGGAAAGUGGAAUUCCUAGUGUAGCGGUGAAAUGCGUAGAUAUUAGGAGGAACACCAGUAGCGAAGGCGGCUUUCUGGACUGUAACUGACACUGAGGCACGAAAGCGUGGGGAGCAAACAGGAUUAGAUACCCUGGUAGUCCACGCCGUAAACGAUGAGUACUAGGUGUCGGGGGUUACCCCCCUCGGUGCCGCAGCUAACGCAUUAAGUACUCCGCCUGGGGAGUACGCUCGCAAGAGUGAAACUCAAAGGAAUUGACGG
This 879-nucleotide ribosomal RNA is filed under the name uncultured bacterium. RNAcentral's name for it is "bacterial SSU rRNA". It matches the Rfam family "Bacterial small subunit ribosomal RNA", at positions 8 to 916 of the family's 1533-position model. The record is from RNAcentral.